RNAcentral lists this ribosomal RNA (387 nucleotides) under uncultured bacterium. Its description in RNAcentral is "bacterial SSU rRNA". It matches the Rfam family "Bacterial small subunit ribosomal RNA", at positions 29 to 417 of the family's 1533-position model. The record is from RNAcentral.
AUUGAACGCUGGCGGCAUGCCUUACACAUGCAAGUCGAACGGCAGCACGGGGGCAACCCUGGUGGCGAGUGGCGGACGGGUGAGUAAUGCAUCGGAACGUGCCCUGAAGUGGGGGAUAACGCAGCGAAAGCUACGCUAAUACCGCAUAUUCUGUGAGCAGGAAAGCAGGGGAUCGCAAGACCUUGCGCUUUGGGAGCGGCCGAUGUCGGAUUAGCUAGUUGGUGGGGUAAAGGCCUACCAAGGCGACGAUCCGUAGCGGGUCUGAGAGGAUGAUCCGCCACACUGGGACUGAGACACGGCCCAGACUCCUACGGGAGGCAGCAGUGGGGAAUUUUGGACAAUGGGCGAAAGCCUGAUCCAGCCAUGCCGCGUGAGUGAAGAAGGCCU